UCCCGUGUGGCUCAGUUGGUAGAGCAUGGUGUUUGCAACGCCAGGGUUGUGGGUUCAAUUCACACGGGGGAC
This 72-nucleotide transfer RNA is filed under the name Salmo salar (Atlantic salmon). It matches the Rfam family "tRNA". From Rfam's summary of the family: Transfer RNA (tRNA) molecules are approximately 80 nucleotides in length. Lineage: Eukaryota; Metazoa; Chordata; Actinopteri; Salmoniformes; Salmonidae. The record is from Rfam by way of RNAcentral.